GACGAACGCUGGCGGCGUGCUUAACACAUGCAAGUCGAGCGAUGAAGCUUCCUUCGGGAAGUGGAUUAGCGGCGGACGGGUGAGUAACACGUGGGCAACCUGCCUCAAAGAGGGGAAUAGCCCUCCGAAAGGAGGAUUAAUACCGCAUAAAGUUAGAGUUUCGCAUGAAACUUUAACCAAAGGAGUAAUCCGCUUUGAGAUGGGCCCGCGUCCCAUUAGCUAGUUGGUAGGGUAAUGGCUUACCAAGGCAACGAUGGGUAGCCGACCUGAGAGGGUGAUCGGCCACAUUGGAACUGAGACACGGUCCAGACUCCUACGGGAGGCAGCAGUGGGGAAUAUUGCGCAAUGGGGGAAACCCUGACGCAGCAACGCCGCGUGGGUGAUGAAGGUUUUCGGAUCGUAAAACCCUGUUUUCUGGGACGAUAAUGACGGUACCAGAUGAGGAAGCCACGGCUAACUACGUGCCAGCAGCCGCGGUAAUACGUAGGUGGCAAGCGUUGUCCGGAUUUACUGGGCGUAAAGGGUGCGUAGGCGGAUGCUUAAGUGAGAUGUGAAAUACCUAGGCUUAACUUAGGGGCUGCAUUUCAAACUGGGCAUCUAGAGUACAGGAGAGGGAAACGGAAUUCCUAGUGUAGCGGUGAAAUGCGUAGAGAUUAGGAAGAACACCAGUGGCGAAGGCGGUUUCCUGGACUGUAACUGACGCUGAGGCACGAAAGCGUGGGUAGCAAACAGGAUUAGAUACCCUGGUAGUCCACGCCGUAAACGAUGAAUACUAGGUGUAGAAGGGUCCAACCUUCUGUGCCGCAGUUAACACAUUAAGUAUUCCGCCUGGGGAGUACGGUCGCAAGACUAA
This 853-nucleotide ribosomal RNA is filed under the name uncultured bacterium. Its description in RNAcentral is "bacterial SSU rRNA". It matches the Rfam family "Bacterial small subunit ribosomal RNA", at positions 28 to 897 of the family's 1533-position model. The record is from RNAcentral.